AUGUGUCCUUCUUGGAUUUUCCGCGGAACAUAAAGGUUACCGCUGUCUUGAUUUACACACUGGACGGGUACACAUAUCUCGCCACGUUACAUUCGCCGAACAUAUUUUUCCUUUUUCUCAACGCACCGAUACACCAUCCACGCGCACAGUGCAAGCGCAAGAUCACCCUGAUUCCGUUCGUUUCCUGAUCUACUUCGAGGUUGCAAGCGGCCCAUUCGGCUCCGACAGGCGGUCCGCAGGGCGGGGCUGAUGUUCACCCUGCUCGGAUUCCUUGUGUUCCCCUUGGUGUGGGGCGUCCCGGAGUCGCUCGUCACCACGGAGCUCGCAGCCGGGUUCCCGGGAAAUGGCGGUUUCAUCCUGUGGGCUGACAACGCCUUCGGCCCGCUGGCAGGAUCGCUCCUCGGCACGUGGAAGUACCUCAGCAUCGUCAUCAACAUCGCCGCAUACCCGGCUCUCGUUGCCCACUACGUCGGUGGCGUGGUGCGCGCAGUCGCGAGACCCAUGAGGGCGCGCUCAGCCGCGGUUACCGGCAUGACGCUGCUCCUCUCCCUGAUUAACUUCGCCGGCCUGAGCGUCGUCGGGUGGGGUGCCACGGCGCUGGGAAUAGCCUCGCUGGUCCCGUUCGUGCUGAUGACGGCCAUGGCGGUGCCCAAGGUGCGGCCGGGGCGGUGGGUGACUCGGGUGGAGGUGAGGAUGAAAGACUGGAGGCUGUUCUUCAACACACUGUUCUGGAACCUCAACUACCGGGACAGCGCGAGCACCAUUGCCGGCGAGGUGGAGCGGCCGGGGCACUUGCCGCAGCGGUCGUUCUGAUUGCCGUCAGUUACCUGCUGCCGCUCAUGGCCGCGACCGGCGCCACGGACGCCUCGCCGGAUGCAUGGGUGAACGGCUACUUGGCUGAUGUCGUGGGCAUCAUCGGGGGUCCAUGGCUCGAGUACUGAACAAGGGCAGGCGCGGUAAUCUCCUCCAUUGGCAUGUUUGAGGCCCAUAUGAGCAGUGGCGUGUUCCAGCUCCAUGGAAUGGCAGACCUACGCCUCCUCCCGUCCGUCUUCUCCGGCCGCGCCACUUGCACCGGAACCCCAUGGGUUGCCAUCACUACGUCAACGGCUGUCACUAUCACUGUCUCGUUUCUCAGUUUCGACGACAUCGUUGCCACAGAUAACUUCCUCUAUAGCCUGGGCACGCUGCUUGAGUUCUCCUCCUUCCUCUGGCUCCGGGCCAAGUACCCAACACUAAAGCGCCCCUACCAAGUGCCUCUGCCGCUGCCCGUGCCAUCGGUGUUCCUAGCCUAUGUGUGUGGUAGCUGGGUGGAGAGUAUUCGCAAUUGCAGCAGGGCUGACCACACUUGGGAUCGGGGGGCAUGCCCUCAUGAGGGUGUGCAGAGCCAAUAAGUUGCUCAGCUUUAACGUGCCUGAAUAAUAAGGUUGA
Molecule: ribosomal RNA, 1428 nt
Filed under: Triticum aestivum (bread wheat)
Lineage: Eukaryota; Viridiplantae; Streptophyta; Magnoliopsida; Poales; Poaceae
Description: partial small subunit ribosomal RNA
Source: RNAcentral